AGCGAACGCUGGCGGCAGGCUUAACACAUGCAAGUCGAGCGCCCCGCAAGGGGAGCGGCAGACGGGAGAGUAACACGUGGGAACAUACCUUUUGGUUCGGAACAACUGAGGGAAACUUCAGCUAAUACCGGAUAAGCCCUUACGGGGAAAGAUUUAUCGCCGAAAGAUUGGCCCGCGUCUGAUUAGCUAGUUGGUGAGGUAACGGCUCACCAAGGCGACGAUCAGUAGCUGGUCUGAGAGGAUGAUCAGCCUCACUGGGGCUGAGACACGGCCCAGACUCCUACGGGAGGCAGCAGUGGGGAAUAUUGGACAAUGGGGGCAACCCUGAUCCAGCCAUGCCGCGUGAGUGAUGAAGGCCUUAGGGUUGUAAAGCUCUUUUGCCCGGGAAGAUAAUGACGGUACCGGGAGAAUAAGCCCCGGCUAACUUCGUG
Molecule: ribosomal RNA, 431 nt
Filed under: uncultured bacterium
Lineage: Bacteria
Description: partial 16S ribosomal RNA
Rfam family: Bacterial small subunit ribosomal RNA
Source: RNAcentral